This 460-nucleotide ribosomal RNA is filed under the name uncultured bacterium. RNAcentral's name for it is "partial 16S ribosomal RNA". It matches the Rfam family "Bacterial small subunit ribosomal RNA", at positions 338 to 795 of the family's 1533-position model. The record is from RNAcentral.
CCUACGGGUGGCAGCAGUGAGGAAUAUUGGUCAAUGGACGAGAGUCUGAACCAGCCAAGUAGCGUGAAGGAUGACUGCCCUAUGGGUUGUAAACUUCUUUUAUAAAGGAAUAAAACGAGGCACGUGUGCCGUUUUGCAUGUACUUUAUGAAUAAGGAUCGGAUAACUCCGUGCCAGCAGCCGCGGUAAUACGGAGGAUCCGAGCGUUAUCCGGAUUUAAUGGGUUUAAAGGGAGCGUAGAUGGGUUGUUAAGUCAGUUGUGAAAGUUUGCGGCUCAACCGUAAAAUUGCAAUUGAUACUGGCAGUCUUGAGUACAGUUGAGGUAGGCGGAAUUCGUGGUGUAGCGGUGAAAUGCUUAGAUAUCACGAAGAACCCCGAUUGCGAAGGCAGCUUACUAAACUGUGACUGACAUUGAUGCUCGAAAGUGUGGGUAUCAAACAGGAUUAGAUACCCCUGUAGUC